RNAcentral lists this long non-coding RNA (1223 nucleotides) under Numida meleagris (helmeted guineafowl). RNAcentral's name for it is "lncRNA (ENSNMEG00000012454.1)". The record is from RNAcentral. Lineage: Eukaryota; Metazoa; Chordata; Aves; Galliformes; Numididae.
CAGUCUCCUGCUCAUCCCCUUCUCUUGCCUAUGCAGAGCCACUGAAUGCUUAUAAUGGAAAUAUUUUUGCAUCUAUGUAGCGGAGAACACCCGUCCAAACCGGAUGUUUGAGAUCACAGGGACUGACCCAGAAUCUGCACUGGGGCAGACAUGAAAGCAUGAAAAUUUCAUUCACAAAGGUUUUCUGGGACCAGCUCUUUUCUGCCUAAGCAGAGUCACGCACGUACUGGCUCAGACGCUCCCACAGCCCUUCCAAAGCAGAGCUGACUGCUUUUAAAGUUAUGCAGGGCUACAUCCUUAAUGGACAGAGGCCACGAGCUCAACUGGGAACAAUUACCAGCUGAAUAAGAUGUUCAUCUGCAAGGGGUGCACUUCUGCCAGCUACUACCCUUGGACGGCCCACGGAGCGAGAGGCACAGUUGGUCCCACGCCUACUUGUUUUCCUUCCCUUUGCUGCCACAGUUUCAACUGAUUUUGAUUACCCUGGCGCCAAAUAAAUGAAAACAUUUCAUAGACAUAUAAUCACUCGUCACUGCAAAGAAAGGAAAAAUGCUUGUGUACUGCGUGUUUAUAAAUACACUUAAUGAAAAAGGGAGAGAUCUGCCCUUCCCAGCCUCGUGUGGCUGAAGCCAGUGUAGCUGCAUGUCCUGUCAGGAAAGUCAGCCGCUGCUACCAUCCUGAUGUGGCCACUGGUGUGGAUGUCACUGGGAGAGACACAGCCCUGCCCCCUUCCCUGAUCAUGCUCCGAUGAUCAGUGUGGGGUGAGAGCAAACCUCCAAGUCAGCAAUUAAGACAUCCAAGAAUUUCAUGUUGAGGAAAGGGAAAAGCCCCAGACAUUGCCAUGAGGACUGCAUAUGGAAGAAAAUGCAAGCAAAUCCAGCAUGGGAAAAUGAGGAGAUGCACUGGGCGAGCGUUCAUCAGGCUUUCAUACUGGAUCAGACAGGAGCUCAGACUAUUUUGGCAGAGGGCAGUAACCAGGUGCAAGUCCCAGGCCACUGACUAGCUCAGCCAGAGCUAUCUCCAUACACAGUACCACACUAAAAGAGGAUGCAACAGCCAUAAAGACAGCAGUGCUCUCUGAGAACCUGUUACCAACUCCAGGUUUGUUCUAUCCAUCAUAAGCAAAAUGUUGAUGUUCUUAGAAUGAAUGAGUCCUAACCAUAAAUGCUGAAGUAUUUUCUGAGCAAUUAGAUGGAAUAAGGUAUUUUUGCUGGGAUUCCCUG